GACGAACCGAGCGAACGUUAUCCGGAGUUACUGGGCGUAAAGGGCGUGUAGGCGGUUUGUUAAGUCUGGCGUGAAAGCUCUCGGCUAAACCGGGAGAGGUCGUUGGAUACUGGCAAUCUAGAGGACGGUAGAGGCGUGUGGAAUUCCGGGUGUAGUGGUGAAAUGCGUAGAGAUCCGGAGGAACACCAGUGGCGAAGGCGACACGCUGGGCCGUACCUGACGCUAAAGCGCGACAGCAUGGGGAGCAAACGGG
RNAcentral lists this ribosomal RNA (253 nucleotides) under uncultured bacterium. RNAcentral describes it as "partial 16S ribosomal RNA". It matches the Rfam family "Bacterial small subunit ribosomal RNA", at positions 524 to 776 of the family's 1533-position model. The record is from RNAcentral.